RNAcentral lists this non-coding RNA (147 nucleotides) under Enterocloster bolteae. Its description in RNAcentral is "Clostridium bolteae SAM-I sequence". It matches the Rfam family "SAM riboswitch aptamer (S box leader)". From Rfam's summary of the family: The SAM riboswitch is found upstream of a number of genes which code for proteins involved in methionine or cysteine biosynthesis in Gram-positive bacteria. The SAM riboswitch acts at the level of transcription termination control. The record is from RNAcentral. Lineage: Bacteria; Bacillati; Bacillota; Clostridia; Lachnospirales; Lachnospiraceae. RNAcentral also lists the same sequence under 1 other name.
CCCUUAUUCAGAGUGAUGGAGGUACAAAGGACCUGUGAAGUCACGGCAACCCCGGUUGAGUAUAUCAGCAAGAUAUGCGAAAGGGCCGGAAGGUGCCAGCCUGAGCGAGGAGUAUGCUAUGGAGCAUACUUGGUCGAGCAAUAAGAG